GACGAACGCUGGCGGCGUGCUUAACACAUGCAAGUCGAACGGAAAGGCCCUGCUUUUGUGGGGUGCUCGAGUGGCGAACGGGUGAGUAACACGUGAGUAACCUGCCCUUGACUUUGGGAUAACUUCAGGAAACUGGGGCUAAUACCGGAUAGGAGCUCCUGCUGCAUGGUGGGGGUCGGAAAGUUUCGGCGGUUGGGGAUGGACUGGCGGCUUAUCAGCUUGUUGGUGGGGUAGUGGCUUACCAAGGCUUUGACGGGUAGCCGGCCUGGGAGGGUGACCGGCCACAUUGGUACUGAGAGACGGCCCAGACUCCUACGGGAGGCAGCGGUGGGAAAUAUUGCACAGUGGGCGGAAGCCUGUUGCAGCAACGCCGCGUGCGGGAUGACGGCCUUCGGGUUAUAAACCGCUUUCGCCUGUGACGAAGCGUGAGUGACGGUAAUGGGUAAAGAAGCACCGGCUAACUACGUG
Molecule: ribosomal RNA, 468 nt
Filed under: uncultured bacterium
Lineage: Bacteria
Description: partial 16S ribosomal RNA
Rfam family: Bacterial small subunit ribosomal RNA
Source: RNAcentral